AGAACGAACGCUGGCGGCGUGGAUUAGGCAUGCAAGUCGAGCGCGAAAGGGGAGCAAUCCCCGAGUAGAGCGGCGAACUGGUGAGUAACAGGUGGGUAACGUACCCCGAAGCGGGGGAUAACCAAGGGAAACUUUGGCUAAUACCGCAUGUGGUCUAGGGAGCUUCGGCUUCUUCGACUAAAGCAGCAAUGCACUUUGGGAUCGGCCCGCCCCCGAUUAGCUAGUUGGUGAGGUAAUGGCUUACCAAGGCUGCGAUCGGUA
This 261-nucleotide ribosomal RNA is filed under the name uncultured soil bacterium. RNAcentral describes it as "partial 16S ribosomal RNA". It matches the Rfam family "Bacterial small subunit ribosomal RNA", at positions 26 to 285 of the family's 1533-position model. The record is from RNAcentral.